CUCUGGCAGUUGCAACACACUGGUAAUCUGUUUCUACACACAUACCAGUUCUUAGUACUAGAAGAAGUUGAAGAAAACUCACAAGUAAUGGUGAAGCAAAUGGGCUGUACAGUCAAACAUUUGGGGCAGUGUUCUUGAUUCUUCACUAACAAAAUGUGUUGACCUAGCAGGCUUCUGGUUACUUCCAUUCCCAACCUAUCCCUUAGUUUUAUUCUUUUGAAGAGUCUGCAUUUCAAGCUAUCAUGUUGGAGAGAGUGAUUGCAGAAAGAAGUGUUCAUUGUUUCAGGUUUAAUAAUCUAUUGAGGAGGACCUACUCAUAUGUGAAUCUUUGCAGAGUAAUGCAACUGGUGAAGAAAUACUCAACUGCAUCAACAGUUUUAUGCAGAAACAUGAAUGAAUGGAAAAA
This is a long non-coding RNA of Phodopus roborovskii (desert hamster), 406 nucleotides long. RefSeq lists it as uncharacterized. The transcript is spliced from 3 exons. Lineage: Eukaryota; Metazoa; Chordata; Mammalia; Rodentia; Cricetidae. The record is from RefSeq and is a predicted model, not a curated record.